Molecule: long non-coding RNA, 348 nt
Organism: Melitaea cinxia (Glanville fritillary)
Lineage: Eukaryota; Metazoa; Arthropoda; Insecta; Lepidoptera; Nymphalidae
Exons: 2
Source: RefSeq, a predicted model, not a curated record
CUGACUUCAGAUAAUCCAGUAUGCUCCACUUAAUGUGACUUAUUUGUACUUCAAGUUCGGUGAGCUGAUGGUCCAGUCGUAGAGUGCGUCAAUUAAACGUCGCCAGCUAUUAGGGCAAGAGGUGGAUUUAAUAAUAAACGCAACGUGGUUCAAUUCCGAGCUGCUUACAAAAAACUGCACAUAAGAGCUAAGAUAACAGAAGUUGGAAUGUUUGUAACAAGAUCGUCAAUUUUACGCCAUCAAAAAAUAUGGUAAAGGCAGCACAAAUCUCGACAACUUUAUAUAAAAACGUGGACGCCACAGACAAUUAGAAGCUAUAAUUUGCUAAUAAAUAUUUGAAAUAAGUAA